AGGACGAACGCUGGCGGCGUGCUUAACACAUGCAAGUCGAGCGGAAAGGCCCUUCGGGGUACUCGAGCGGCGAACGGGUGAGUAACACGUGAGCAACCUGCCCUUAGCUCCGGGAUAGCUCCGGGAAACCGGAAUUAAUACCGGAUACGACCACGGCCGACAUCUGCUGUGGUGGAAAGGAUUCCGGCUAAGGAUGGGCUCGCGGCCUAUCAGCUAGUUGGUGGAGUAACGGCCCACCAAGGCGACGACGGGUAGCCGGCCUGAGAGGGCGACCGGCCACACUGGGACUGAGACACGGCCCAGACUCCUACGGGAGGCAGCAGUGGGAAUAUUGCGCAAUGGGCGAAAGCCUGACGCAGCGACGCCGCGUGGGGAUGAAGGCCUUCGGGUUGUAAACCCCUUUCAGUUGGGACGAAGCUUCGUCGGUUAAUAGCCGACCGGAGUGACGGUACCUUCGAGAAGAAGCCCCGGCUAACCUACGUGCCAGCAGCCGC
Molecule: ribosomal RNA, 494 nt
Filed under: uncultured bacterium
Lineage: Bacteria
Description: SSU rRNA
Rfam family: Bacterial small subunit ribosomal RNA
Source: RNAcentral